GCUGGGUGUGGUGGCGCAUCCCUGUAAUCCCAGCGGCUUGGGAGUCUGAGACAGAAGAAUCUCGAGUUCAAAGCCAGCCGCAGCAACUGUAAGGCACUAAACAAUUCAGUGAGACCCUGUCUCUG
Molecule: small RNA, 125 nt
Filed under: Marmota monax (woodchuck)
Lineage: Eukaryota; Metazoa; Chordata; Mammalia; Rodentia; Sciuridae
Source: RNAcentral